Long non-coding RNA from Tyto alba (common barn owl), 1908 nucleotides. RefSeq lists it as uncharacterized. Lineage: Eukaryota; Metazoa; Chordata; Aves; Strigiformes; Tytonidae. The transcript is spliced from 2 exons. The record is from RefSeq and is a predicted model, not a curated record.
UCGGGGACCGGUAUCGGGGUGAGGACCAGCCAAAGGGUUAGAUGGAGAGGCUCGAGGCUCUGUGGGCCCCAUCCUGCAAGGAUGGCUGGGAUGUGCACCCCACUGCAGCCUUGCACCCCACUGCAGGCAGCGUACCCCCCGCCAGCAGCCGCCGCGCCGCCCCCCCGCCCAUGCCCAUGUGAUGCCCAGGCAGCCCCGAGCCCCAAAUCGCAUCGUUCUCCGCUGGAAACUCUCCAGGUACUGAUGAAAUAUUUAUGAGUCAAGGCGUACACGGCCUCCGAGGUGAGGAAAGAAACGGUUUUUAUCGUGGAGAUGGACUUGAGGGGAACAUUUUAUUAGAGAGCAUGGUGUUGUAAAACGCUGUAUUCAGAAGAGGAUGGCGUGUGAUUUCCCUCCUGCGGAGCGAGGCUCAGGCGCUGAGCUGGGAAGCCGAGCGUUUCCUUCCUCAGACCGAGGAUGCUGCCGCGGGGCCGAGGUCCCCUGAAGACAGGCUCUGCUCUGAAACGCAGCUGAUGGCGGCGAGCGGCAUUUGCUUUCCAAAAUAACAUCCUCAUCCUCCCCGCUGGUGCUUCCUCGCCCUCGUGACCGCCUGGUUUUGGUAGGAGGAGCCACAUGCCAUCCGGCACCCCGAGGAGCACUCGGGAAGGCUUCCCAUCAGCUGGGGUGGAAAUCCUUCCCCUGGGCACGACGGAUGCUCCGAGCUGACUCCGAUUUCCCCGCUGCCUGCUCAGCCAGAGGAGCUAAGUAACCUCUCGGGAAUUCAAUAGGCCUGUUUAGGUGAUGCUCAGAGGCAUUAAUAAUAAAGGUGACCCUCACCUAUGGCCUGAUCCUGGGAGGAACGGGGCAGCUGCCCACAGGAGGAGCAGGAGAGGGGGCGCAGGAGGUUUUGGAGCUGCCGUCGAAACCCCGCUGGAAAAGGACGGCCUGGCAGGGAGGGAGGGCUGCUCUCGCCACGCUCAGCCGCUCUUGGUGGGCAAGAAGAGGUUCUUGAGGAGCUCAUCCAGCGGCGUGGGAGAGCAGAGAGCUGGGGCCCAACGGCUGCAUCGCCGAGUCGCUCGGUGACAAGCGGCCGCCGCUGCUUUCCUCUGCCUACCCCGCACGCCGCCCCAACAGCCUGGAGGAGGGCGAGGGAGAGGUGAGGAUUAACUCCCUUGAUGUUUUGCAAAUAGCUUUGAAAACAAGGCAACUGUGCAUUUGUGGCAAGACUGUGUUUGCGUUAAGGAAAACCACCGGCUGCGAGCACAUUUUUGCCGUUUUUUUCUGACGGACGCCAGCUUGGUCUGCUUGCACGCCGAGCCUCGGAGCCGCCUCCCUCAGAGCUGCUUCCUUGCAGAACUCGUGCAGAAAUACCUAACGGGGGUCACUGCACCGGGGCUAAAUGCCGAGGGAGGGGGAAGAGGUGCAAACACGUGUGCUCACCCAUCCCUACAGCGAUGAGCUGCUCUCCCAGUCAGCCAGAGAAGGUUUCCCCAGCCCAGCCCAGCAGAACCAGCGGUGCCCGCUCUGCUGCCCGUGCCUUCCUCCCCACACCAGUCCACAGCUUGCCGAUGUUUAAUCCAAGCCAUGGAGAGGUGCCACGGAGGGUUUGGAGGCUGUUUCCCGCAGCUGGAGUGCAAAUCUGAGUUUUCCCUUGAAGGAUUAGCUGGAGGUUGCAGGUGGACACUGAUGCUCUGCUCCCAAGGGCUGCACAGGCUCAGCGUGGCUGCGUUUGGGGCUCCAUCAGCACCAGGACCCCGCCAGCCCGGGGCACGAUCACACCCCCCUGCGAUGGGGGGGGAGCUUGGCCCUCCUGACAGCAGCCCCUCACCCUGCUGCAGCUCUUAGUCCUCAGCGCUCAAGCGAGAGCUUAACCUCGCCGUGCAUUAAACCGCGCUCUCUUAAAUAAAUGACAUUAGUCUUGGCUGCAAA